CUGGCGGCGUGCCUAAUACAUGCAAGUCGAACGGUCUUUCUAUGGAAGCUUGCUUCCACUGAGAAGAUAGUGGCGAACGGGUGAGUAACACGUGGGUAACCUGCCCAUAAGAGGGGGAUAACAUCCGGAAACGGGUGCUAAUACCGCAUAGUUUUCUUGAUCGCAUGAUCGGGAAAGGAAAGACGGCCUUUGUGCUGUCGCUUAUGGAUGGACCCGCGGCGUAUUAGUUAGUUGGUGAGGGUAACGGCUCACCAAGACGAUGAUACGUAGCCGACCUGAGAGGGUGAUCGGCCACAUUGGGACUGAGACACGGCCCAAACUCCUACGGGAGGCAGCAGUAGGGAAUCUUCCGCAAUGGACGAAAGUCUGACGGAGCAACGCCGCGUGAGUGAAGAAGGUUUUCGGGAAUCGUAAAACUCUGUUGUCAGAGAAGAACAAGUUGGAGAGUAACUGCUCCAGCCUUGACGGUAUCUGACCAGAAAGCCACGGCUAACUACGUGCCAGCAGCAGC
RNAcentral lists this ribosomal RNA (511 nucleotides) under uncultured bacterium. Its description in RNAcentral is "bacterial SSU rRNA". It matches the Rfam family "Bacterial small subunit ribosomal RNA", at positions 36 to 518 of the family's 1533-position model. The record is from RNAcentral.